ACGAGGCUGUCUAUGCCUUUCACCCAUCGGUAGCUCUCCUCCUGUCCCUGCCUCUAUGCACACACUCUGCCAGGCAUAGUCUUCCUCCCUCUGUGUGUGUCUCUCUCUCGCUUCAGCUCCUAAAACCUAAGAUGCAUCGGAUAUAAAAACACGCACAUAAACACACACACACACACACACACAUCAACAAGCCAUGGAGAAAGAUCAGGAAUUACUGCAAGCUGUCAAAACCGAAGAUGUAGCUGCAAUGCAGAAGCUGUUGCAAAGGCCGAAACAAGGCAAAGCGAAACCAUACAAUUAGACUGUUUUGAUGAGGAACUUAAAGAUUACGAGUCCCGUCCGUUUGACUCAGAGUUUGGUACCAUAGGUUGGUACGAUCUUCGUUGGAGAAGGAAAAGGGAUGUUCCAGAUACAGAAAAUAGUCAAACCAUUUACUACAAAGUCCGUUUCUGGGUGGAGUUAGUGGAACCGAAAAAGAUGUCUCCCUCACAGCGUUUGUGACAAAAGAAUUGCAUUGUUCCUUGGCGGCCUUUCAACAGAAGAAUAUUCAGAGAUUUCA
Stegostoma tigrinum is the source of this 559-nucleotide long non-coding RNA. RefSeq lists it as uncharacterized. The transcript has 3 exons. NCBI's taxonomy places the organism in Eukaryota, Metazoa, Chordata, Chondrichthyes, Orectolobiformes, Stegostomatidae. The record is from RefSeq and is a predicted model, not a curated record.